RNAcentral lists this ribosomal RNA (320 nucleotides) under uncultured bacterium. RNAcentral's name for it is "bacterial SSU rRNA". It matches the Rfam family "Bacterial small subunit ribosomal RNA", at positions 28 to 334 of the family's 1533-position model. The record is from RNAcentral.
GAUGAACGCUGGCGGCGUGCCUAAUACAUGCAAGUCGAACGCGCGGAUCAGGAGCUUGCUCCUGUGACGCGAGUGGCGGACGGGUGAGUAACACGUAGGCAACCUGCCCAUCAGACUGGGAUAACCACGGGAAACCGUGGCUAAUACCGGAUAAUCCUUUCCCACACAAGUGGGAAAGUUGAAAGGCGGUCUUUUGGCUGUCACUGAUGGAUGGGCCUGCGGCGCAUUAGCUGGUUGGUGGGGUAAUGGCCCACCAAGGCGACGAUGCGUAGCCGACCUGGGAGGGUGAUCGGCCACACUGGGACUGAGACACGGCCCAG